GACGAACGCUGGCGGCGUGCUUAACACAUGCAAGUCGAACGGUGACCUCGGAGCUUGCUCCGGGCGAUCAGUGGCGAACGGGUGAGUAACACGUGAGUAACCUGCCCCAGACUCUGGGAUAACCCCGGGAAACCGGAGCUAAUACCGGAUACGACACGAAGAGGCAUCUCUAUCGUGUGAAAGUUUUUCGGUCUGGGAUGGACUCGCGGCCUAUCAGCUAGUUGGUGAGGUAACGGCUCACCAAGGCGACGACGGGUAGCCGGCCUGAGAGGGCGACCGGCCACACUGGGACUGAGACACGGCCCAGACUCCUACGGGAGGCAGCAGUGGGGAAUAUUGCACAAUGGGCGAAAGCCUGAUGCAGCGACGCCGCGUGGGGGAUGACGGCCUUCGGGUUGUAAACCCCUUUCAGCAGGGAAGAAGCGAAAGUGCGGU
Molecule: ribosomal RNA, 435 nt
Filed under: bacterium Ellin5216
Lineage: Bacteria; Bacillati; Actinomycetota; Actinomycetes; Kineosporiales; Kineosporiaceae
Description: bacterial SSU rRNA
Rfam family: Bacterial small subunit ribosomal RNA
Source: RNAcentral